AAAACAACACCCGAUUUUCCUCCAAACUUUUCUAACUUUUCUCUCAAAUUCAAUCUCCAAACUCAAGAAUACUAUAGGGCUUCAAAAACCGGUUCCAUUUCGUUCAAAUUUGCUUUGAAGUCUGAGAUUCCAUCAUCAUGAUAAAUGGCAAAUGGACGUGUGCCAAAGACAUGUGGAAGAGGAAGAUAUAAAUCUCAUUCCAAAAGAUCUAGCAAAAGAAUUAAGACAUCUCAGGAGGAUGAGCUACAAAAAUCAAUUGUAGCUGAAAUGGAAGCCAAACCACUUCAGGUAGUAGAAGGAGUGGAUGCUGGAGAAGAAGAAAAAGAAAACGAAAAUGAAGAGGAAAUUGAGAAAGAAAAUAAAGAGGAAACAGAGAAUAUACUAUGAGGGAAUGCUAGAGAAGCGGAAACAGAGAAAGAAAAAGAAGAGGAAAUAGAAAAGGAAAAAGAAGAGGAAACAAGGAAAGUAAGAGAAGAAAAGAUAAAUGUUGAUGAACAAGAAUCAAAAGAGGAUACAACAAUUGAUGAAAGAGAAGAGGAGACAAAUAUUGACGAUGAAGCAUCAGUAGCAAAUACUGAUGAAAAAGCUUCAAGAGAAGAAGUAGAUGAAGAAGAAAAAGAGGCAGCGACAGAAAGAAGAAAAAAGAGAAAGAAUGAUAAUGCACAUUCUCAAUCUGUUGAGGAUGAGAUGCCUGAGGAUGAGUCUGACAGUUGCGAGGUUGAAGAUGAAGAAGGAGGAGGAGAAGAAGAAGAAGAAAAAGAGGCAGCGGCAGAAAGAAGAAAACAAAGAAAGAAUGAUAAUGCACCUUCUCAAUCUGUUGAGGAAAGCUUAAUAUGCUUCAAACAUGUCACGACCCAUUUUACCCCUCCGAAAGGUGUCAUGACGACACCUAGUCUCUACGACUAGGUAAGCCUACUAUUUCAGAAACAUAAAAGAAAAACAUUACAAUGAAAGCUAAACAAUAUGAUUUAAUAUGCAAGGAUAGUGCCACUCGGCAUAUACAAUACAUUACUCCCAAAACCCGGAAUGUCGCUAAUCACAAGCUUCUAUAAGUCUAUAUAGCUCUAUACAAAAUAUCUGAAGAAAACAAAAGAAAAUCUCUA
Nicotiana tabacum (common tobacco) is the source of this 1103-nucleotide non-coding RNA. The record is from RefSeq and is a predicted model, not a curated record. Lineage: Eukaryota; Viridiplantae; Streptophyta; Magnoliopsida; Solanales; Solanaceae.